CCCAGCGUAAGAACCCGCAGAUUGAGAAUGUUCUGAUGAUGCUUCCCUCGAGCAUUCGCUGCACCGCUUGUAGCACUGUCAUGGCCAAAGGCACCAAGUUGAAUUCCAGCAAAGAAGAAGUCCUCGGCGAGGAGUUUUGGGAGGUUUGGAAAGAUCACACAUUCAGGAUUUUGCUUCAAUUGUACCCAGUGCUCGGCUGAGAUCGUCAUAAGGACAGACCCACAAUAUUCACACCUUGCUGUUGAGGCCGGUGCUUCGAAAUUUUGUAGUCAUUUUAUCCCUUGGCUUCCCUCUAGGGUUGAGGAGAAAGAGAAGUUGGUUCCUUACACGGACCCAAACUGGCAAGAGAUAGAAAAGAGAGGAGGUCUUAGUUAACAGGAUACAACAAAUUAUAGAUAAGCAUAUUCAGAAAAGGAAGAUUGAAGAAGCAGGAGAUGCCAUGAAAUCUUUGGAUUUCAAAAGAGUGAUUUAGCAGUUUUCCGUCAAGGUAGAUUCCUUAUUAUUUGUAAUCAGAUUCAUAGCCGAUCGAUGCUCCUACUCCUACAUUCCUUUGUUUAUGUUUGUUUAGGUAUUUCGAAUUCAAACACCUUACAAUUGACUAAAAACUAAUGUAUAAUGAUUAAGGAUUUACUUACCAUUGAUCACU
Long non-coding RNA from Prunus mume (Japanese apricot), 646 nucleotides. RefSeq lists it as uncharacterized. The record is from RefSeq and is a predicted model, not a curated record. NCBI's taxonomy places the organism in Eukaryota, Viridiplantae, Streptophyta, Magnoliopsida, Rosales, Rosaceae.